RNAcentral lists this ribosomal RNA (507 nucleotides) under uncultured bacterium. Its description in RNAcentral is "partial 16S rRNA". It matches the Rfam family "Bacterial small subunit ribosomal RNA", at positions 355 to 894 of the family's 1533-position model. The record is from RNAcentral.
UGGGGAAUAUUGGACAAUGGACCAAGAGUCUGAUCCAGCAAUUCUGUGUGCACGAUGAAGUUUUUCGGAAUGUAAAGUGCUUUCAGUUGGGAAGAAAAAAAUGACGGUACCAACAGAAGAAGUGACGGCUAAAUACGUGCCAGCAGCCGCGGUAAUACGUAUGUCACGAGCGUUAUCCGGAUUUAUUGGGCGUAAAGCGCGUCUAGGUGGUUAUGUAAGUCUGAUGUGAAAAUGCAGGGCUCAACUCUGUAUUGCGUUGGAAACUGUAUAACUAGAGUACUGGAGAGGUAAGCGGAACUACAAGUGUAGAGGUGAAAUUCGUAGAUAUUUGUAGGAAUGCCGAUGGGGAAGCCAGCUUACUGGACAGAUACUGACGCUGAAGUGCGAAAGCGUGGGUAGCAAACAGGAUUAGAUACCCUGGUAGUCCAUGCCGUAACGAUGAUUACUAGGUGUUGGGGGUCGAACNNNNNNNCNNANNNAACCCGCCGGGGGAGUACGUACGCAGUU